AGCUAAUAUGAAGAAAAAUCUGAGGUUAAUAAUGCAGCAUAAGAGUAAAUUUUAGCUAUUUUCCACAAAAACAUUCAAGAGUGAUGCUUCAAAAAAUGCUAAUCAUAUCCCUUUUUGAGAGGAAUGUAAGAUAUCCCUUCUUUCAACAUAAUAAUAAUAUACCUAUUGCUCAUUUUGAAUUAAAGUUCUAUGGCUCUCUCCAUAUUUCGCAUUCCUUGCAGACUCAACAAGUAUGCGACUCCAAAAUUUCAGUGGCUAUAAUCGGUACUUACAAAAAGCUAGUAGGCAGUCUUCCUUUCAUGUAAAAAAUCAUUUGGUACUAUUGGCUUUCUUUCGUUGGAAUAAAACAUUUAUAAGAAAAGACAAUUAUAUU
Molecule: unclassified non-coding RNA, 373 nt
Filed under: Hevea brasiliensis (rubber tree)
Lineage: Eukaryota; Viridiplantae; Streptophyta; Magnoliopsida; Malpighiales; Euphorbiaceae
Source: RNAcentral